RNAcentral lists this ribosomal RNA (253 nucleotides) under uncultured bacterium. Its description in RNAcentral is "partial 16S ribosomal RNA". It matches the Rfam family "Bacterial small subunit ribosomal RNA", at positions 524 to 776 of the family's 1533-position model. The record is from RNAcentral.
UACGGAGGGGGCAAGCGUUGUUCGGAAUCACUGGGCUUAAAGGGCGCGUAGGCGGGCGGCUCAGUCCGUGGUGAAAUCCUCCGGCUCAACCGGAGAACGGCCACGGAUACUGGUCGUCUCGAGGGAGGCAGGGGCGUGCGGAACUAUCGGUGGAGCGGUGAAAUGCGUUGAUAUCACUUGGAACGCCAAUGGUGAAGACAGCUCGCUGGGGGUGUCCUGACGCUGAGGCGCGAAAGCCAGGGGAGCGAACGGG